RNAcentral lists this transfer RNA (58 nucleotides) under Cricetulus griseus (Chinese hamster). It matches the Rfam family "tRNA", at positions 8 to 63 of the family's 71-position model. From Rfam's summary of the family: Transfer RNA (tRNA) molecules are approximately 80 nucleotides in length. Their secondary structure includes four short double-helical elements and three loops (D, anti-codon, and T loops). Lineage: Eukaryota; Metazoa; Chordata; Mammalia; Rodentia; Cricetidae. The record is from Rfam by way of RNAcentral.
UAGCUCUGUCAGUAGAGCAUGAGACUCUUAAUCUCAGGGUCGUGGGUUCGUGCCCCAC